This is a non-coding RNA of Meleagris gallopavo (turkey), 506 nucleotides long. Lineage: Eukaryota; Metazoa; Chordata; Aves; Galliformes; Phasianidae. The record is from RefSeq and is a predicted model, not a curated record.
GUGGGCACAGGGGAACCUCAAGAGCUUCAACAAAUCUGAGUGCAAUGUGUUGCACCUGAAUUGCAGCAAUCCCUACUACCAGAACAAGGCCCUGACCUGCUGCAUGGCACCUCUCCACACUUCGUCUCUGGACCUCAGAGCCCCACUUGAGGCCCAGACAAGAGGGCUGCUCCUGCCUCCCCGCACUGCUGAGCCCCUACCAGUUUGUGGGCCUGGAGGGUGCUCCACAGCUCCCAGGACUACCAGCACCUGCUGCAGCACUCCACCUGACCCAGAAGCACAGAGCCAGGCAACAGAACCCAGCAUCCACCAUGGCAGCAGCACCAUGAGACCACUCCAGCUUGGCACUGGAUGGCAGCAGGACAGCGUGAGCGUGGUACCACCGUGGCAGCUCCUAGCAGUAGAGGCAUUUGCUUUCACGGUUUGCAUGAACAUUCUUCCAUUCCAGCAACACACAAGAUGCAAAAAGAAUUAGUAAAGUAAAAAUAAAGCAAUAAUGACAAAAC